UAAAUUUCAUUCACUCCGCAUACUCAAUCCUAUAGACACCUUUUUAAUCCUUCAAUCACAGACGUAACUCGAUUUCAUAAAACAGUCAAGAGUAUUCAAACCCACUUCAUUAAAAAUCCUGAUUCACCAUUACAAUACUGACUUCAGCAGCGAUUGCCUCAGUCUUUCCAAAACUCUACGAAGAAGAAAAAUCCAAAUUCUAUGUCUUUCCUUCCCCGACCCGAAGCAUGAAGCUCCUCUUCUCUAAUCCCCUUGAUCUUCAAAAACCUCCAAUGAAAACCGAACUAGUAACCUUGCAAAAGCUUGAAACUAGCUUCCCACGAUUCCCAGAGAAAAAAAAAAAAAAAAAAAAAAAAAAAAAAAAAAAAACCCUUCAAAACUAUAUCCCCCCUAACCUUAUCCUCUGAAUUUCUUCAAUCUUCCGUCUUAGAUCCGGAAUUGGCUCCCGUCGUCAGAGCUUAGAUCCAAAAUUGGCUCACGUCAUCAAGGCCUUCUCCUCCGUUUUUACCUUUAAGAGAUCCAUUUACCGAAAACAACGUUCCCUGAAACGGCACAGAGAACAGGACAGCUUGAAACAGAAUCGAAAUCCCGUAAUCGGGACCACAUUGAGUCGCCCGACCAAUUCAGGUCCCAUAUUGAGUAAGAUGCUCGUAAUAACCUGGAUGUUUCCGUAAUUGGGUCUGCAUUGGGUUGCCCGGCCAAUUCAGGUCUCAUAUUGGGUAAGAAGACCCGGAUUGGAUUCUUGAAAUUGGAUCCAAUUGGCUCUUCGAACCCGUCGUGUGAAUUGGUCCUUCUCUUCCUGCGGACUUCCGUUAUUGGAAUUGAAUGGAGCAUUUCAGUAUGCCCCGAAUGACUGUAACGGGGUGACUGAACCUGGCCACUCAGUAUUUGUAUAGGAGUUGGUCGAUGCUCCCAAUAUUCGAGGUAACUGAAUAUUAAUAAAAUUCCCCUUUCUUUUUAUUUUCACUGUAUACUCGUGUUACAACACAGCAUCCACCCCCUCUGAACCUGUGCAUCCUCCGGUAUGUACCAAUUUACCCAAUUGUUGUUUGAUUCAGAAUAUAUCCUCUACGUCUUUGUCCUGUUCGUCUUCGUCACCUUCAUUAUCCAAAUCACUUUCAUCUUCUUGCUGCGGAAUCUCUAUACCUUCAUUAAGAUCUUCCAUAUUCAUCUCUGCAUGUCUUCGUUUAAAUAUUUUUACUCGCUUCCCUGCAAUUGUUAUUUUCAAUUUUGUACCAUCUAACUCCCGUAAUGAGUAAGUCGCAUUAUCAUGAACAGUUGUUACCACAUAUGGUCCAAACCAACGUUUUGAGAAUUUCCUCAAAGUACUAUGUUGAUUAUCCAGACUAUUGUCAUAAACAAGUACCCAGUCACCUUCCUCGAUUGCUUUUGGUCUCAAUCGAUAUUGCUUAUCGAAUCGUGCCUUGUUUUGUAACCUUGCUCUUUUUAACCUUUCCAAUGCUAUCUGGACAUCUUCCGUUCUUUGCUCCAAUUGUCGAAUCCUAAUAGCCAGAAGUUCUUCUCUUGUCAAUCCAUCUUCCCAUGGUAGCAUACUCCAAGUAAGUAUCUUUUCUUCAAUCAACAUAAUUGGUUUUUGACCUGUCAUAAGUUCUACUGGCAUAUAUCCUGUCACCGAACUAUGUGUUGUUCGAUCAGCCCAUAAUGCAAAUGACAAAAGCCGUAGCCACUCUUUGACUUUCCCAUUACAAGCUUUAACCAAUGCUUUCACAAUCGAUGGGUGUCCACGUUUGCUUUUCGCAUUCCCUUCUGGAUUACAAGCAGUAGUCAGUGAUAGUUUAACUCCACAUCUUUCAAAGAACUUACAAGCUUCUUGUGCAUUUAAUUCUCCACGAUCUACAGUGAUUUUUCCUACGCACCCGUAAUGGCAAAUGACAUCUUCAAGCAAAAACCUACAAAUCCCCUCUGUAGAUUUUGUCCUCAAUGCUCUUCCUUCUACUUGAUUUGAUAAAUCUUCACGAGCUAAAACCAAAUAUCUCAUCUGCCAUAACCCAACCGGCAUAAUAACCAAAUCAACAAUCCAUUUAAAAUGAAUAGCCAGAGGAUACGUAGGAUGAAGAUCAUCUCGAUGUAAAAUCCAUAUGUUUUUUUUCUUAUUUGUUUGAAUUUUUCUGUAGACCAAUUCCCCUACUUAGUCAAGGUAUUCAAAUAAUGACCAAUAUCCAAUAAUUCUCCUUCAUAAGAUUCUUCAAGAAUUAGCUUGUCUUCUCUGUUGAGAUUUGAUAUUGAAUAGAAUUUCAAUCCGACGUCAUCAAUGUCUUCAACCAUUUCGUCCUCCCUCUCGUAUCUUGCUCGAGAUAGCAUGUCUGCUACUAAAUUAUCCUUCCCAGUGAUAUGCUUAAAUUUUGGAUUUAGUGACUUAAUAUAAGCAAUCCAUCUCAACAUUGCAAUAUCUGGCGUUGAACAGUUAAUAAUCAUUCCAAGCAAUGGCAAGCAAUCUGUUUCAAUUACUACUACUGCCCCAAUCAAAUAGUCCCUUUCAGCUUUCAUAGCCGAAACGACUCCCCAAAGUUCUCUUUUGACUUGCGAAUAUGCACGCUGACGAAUACUUAAAACUUUAGCCCCAAAUCGAACUGCAAAUCUACUCCCAUUUGAAUCAUCUUGACCCACAGUCCAUCCAACGGCAAUUGGAUUAGCGUCUACAGUAAGAAUCACUGGUCUAUUGCACUUAUAAUCAACCUUCCUCAAUAUUGGAGGUGACAUCAAUAAUUUCUUCAAUCUUUGCAUUGCCUGAAUAUGCCUUUCUUCCCAUUUAAAUCGGUAACCCUUGCGUAACAGUUCAUAUAAUGGAUCCGCUAUGUGAGCAAAAUGAGGGAUCCAGAUUCGAUAAAAUACACAUGCACCCAAAAACCUGCGAACCUCUGUUAAAGAAUCACAAUCCUCUUUCAUCCUUCCAAUUGCAUCAACUUUAGUCGGAUCUGGUUUUCUUCCGUAGGAUCCACAUAAAUGUCCAACAAUUACAACCUCUCGUACUCCAAAUACGGACUUCAUACCCGAUAAUGUAAGAUGAACUUCUCCAAGCUGAGUUAAAAUCUUUUCACAAUCUUGUAUAUGAUUAACAACAUAUCUGCGACACUCCCUCGUAUCUAAAGUUUCAUCCUUGUCUCCUUCUCUGCACCCUUUUAUAAGAACAUCAUCCAGAAAAGGCAUAGUCUUUUUCGGAAUAAAAUCUGUCAAUACCUUAUUCAUCCCAUUCAUCAUAUGCGCAAUUGAGUUGGUCGUGCCUUGAGGAAGAGUGCACAUUCUAACCAAUCCAAGUGGUGUCCUCAUUGUUGUCAUAUCUCUACUUCCUUCGGCAAGUUGAAAUUGAUCAUAACCUGAAUACAAAUCACCCAUUGAAUAGAUCGCCCUUCCAGCAAACGCCUCAGCAAAUUCAUCCACAAUAGGUCCAAUUUCUGCAUUCCUGACAGUUACAGCAUUCACCGGCUGCAUAUCUUGAAUAAACCAUAGUGACCCAUUCUUCUUAGGUACCGUAAACCAUCGACUAGAAUACGGCGCAAAUGAAGGUUCUAAUAUUUUCAUCUUUAUCUUUUCUUUCAAUAGUUCGACCAAUUUAGGUAAAUGUACCCUCGGUACUGGAAUCGGUCUUAGAUUCCAAGGUACAUGCGGUACAGUGAAGAUAACCAUAGGUGUUAUAAUAUUUGGAUCCACAUACCUAAUUUCAUGAGAUUCGAAAGCAAACGAUCUACCUUGUUUAGCCAACAUCUUUUUGAAGCAAGUAAUUUCCUUCGGCAAUAAAGAACCAUCAGAACCAAUCUUCAAUUCUUCAAAAGUCUCUUUAGUAAACUGAUGUCCAAUACUCAUUGGAUCUCUUAAACUUGCUUCUUUUGAUGCUUCUCCCAUUUGUUCUUUAGAAUCUUCUCGUAAUGGUCUAGCAACAGGCUUUACCUUCUUAUCUGUCGUUUUAUAUCUCGUCUCUACAGUGACUUGUGGUGCUUGAAAAGAUUCAAGCCUGCUAUAAACCUCUCUCGAAUGAAUCUCAACAAUCUUAUCAUUAUCUCCUAACCCAAUAGAUGUAAUCAAUUCCAAUGAAUCUUCCAGUCCAUUUUCUUCAUAAACACCCAAAAUCCUCUCAUCAUCUUGCAAUGUACCUAUCUUGCGUAAUUGUCCUUCAAUAUCAUAUAAUCUUUUUCUUUCUUUUCUUUUAAAAUCAUCAACUUUCUUAUACAUAAUAUUUCCAUUCUCCAAAAUACCAAUAAAACUCGCAUCAAAGGCACCUUCAUCUCGCGAGAGUACCUCCUCUUUUGUACUUCCAUAAUCUCGCUUUACAGUGGUACCUCCCCAAAAUCCUUAAAUCCUUCAACAAUCUUUGGCAAUGGUUUCUCCCUCAACCUAUCUCGAUUCCUUUCAUGGUUAGGAGGUACUGUUAGAAAUUGUACAGCUUUCUUCUCAUCUUCACUCCGUACCCUUGCAUAAGCAGAACCAUUGUCAAGUACUUUUGUUUCCAUCCGUGUUGCCGUGAUAUAAGGUUGUCCUAACAUCAACGGAUAAGACGUUGUAUCUUGAACGAAGAAAUGUUGCUCCGUCGCAACAUCCCCAAUCCAAAUUUUGACAUCUGGACAAGCUCCAUAUAAUUCGCCCCAUGUGUUAUUAGCUGCUCGUAUUGCCCAUCCAUGUUCCAUAUCAAUUGGUCAUUUUUGCUUCUUAUAAAGAUCUUUAGACAUGAGAUUUAUUUCAGAACCAUGGUCCACCAAAGCAACUAUUGGUUCUUCUAUAUCUCCUACCUUCACCAAUACCUCAGUAGUUGCCCUUGUACAAUGCUUUCGAGUAUAAUGGCUCAAAGUUUCCAUUUCCUUGUCACUAAAAUCUUCGAAACAUACUCGUUGAUUAUAUCCAUUCUUUUCAUUUGUUGGUUGCUUGUAACCAAUAUCAACUUCUUCUUCAUCUCUAUAUAUUCUUGCAUCAAUAGCAUGACUCAUUCCAGAUUCGCCCAUUAAUUGCCUCUUUCGCUUAAUGCUGUCAAUGAUAACAUCAUUAAACUCCUUCUUUGCAGUUCCCAAGACUUCUUUCAAUGUGAAUUCCACCUUAGCGUUUAAUAUACGUUCUUCCAACACCCCUUUCAAAUUUGUUGCCGCUUCAAUGUCAGAAAGUAGCUUAUAAGCAAUUGAUUUGCCCUUAUCUUUUGUCUCCGUUGUUUUUUCUCCCAAUGAUGCUGAGGUAUCUUUUACAGGCAAUUCUUGUGAAGCUGCCUCCCGAGCCUUGUCUCCUCGAGUUUGCCUCUUAAAAGAAUUUCCUUCUCUAGUAUCAUCAAAAUUUCCUCAUCUUUUUUCUUCCAUCAAAGCUUCAUGUUGGCUCUUAGCAAUAUAUGCAUGAACUAAAAGAGACUCAACAGGAUCCUCCCAACCUGUUCUACCUCGUAUUAUAGCUACAGUUCUCAAUAACGCUUCUCGAGGUAAUUUCCCUUCUUGCAUUGUAGAAACGGCAGAAGCCCAAAACUCACUAGUUUUCGUACUUCCACCAAUUGCAUCAUCUACUCUAGCACCAUAACUUGCACUUUCUCGUGCUACUGUUUCAUGCUCUUUUAAGUAAUCUUGAACCAAUGCUCUCAUUCCUCCCUUGCAAAAAUUGGUUUGAAGAAGAUCCUCUCUAUUUUUCAAUGCUAUCUUCCCAUCUUUCCAGCAAAUAAUUCCCUGCCAUAUCAUAUUAUUAAAUUCAUAGCAAUCUUUUCUAGUGUGUGAAGCAUCAUCACACCAAAUGCAUCUUUGUACAUAUCCUUGUUUUGAAACAUUCUUCGAAUUGUUUAUAGAAGUAUUCUCUUCAAGUCUUGCCAAUUUGAUUUGAAGAUCUCGCAUUCCUCGUAUAAUUUCUUCCAUACCCAUAUCUGCUUUCUUUGACAAGGAUGUCGAAGGUUGAACUGUAGGCAUUGUUGGUGGUGUUGUACGUACUGGAGCUUUGGGUGCUUAUACUGUUUUCGAAAUAUUGCUCCUAUCCUUCCUCCUUUCUUUUUUUGUAAGCAAAUCCACCGCAUCUUCAACGUUCUUCCACUUCGUUGUCAAUCCUUCAUCUUCUUCUUUGUCUUCAAGAAGGGGUUCUAAUUUCUCUUGCAAUUCUCCAUCAACAGCUUGAAGAAAUAGAUCAACUUUGUUCGGCUCCAAUGUCAAUUUUUCUACCUUCGAUAAUUGAGAGUACUGCCUCUCAAAUUCCCUUAGUAGCUCUGUUGCUUGCAAAUUCUUAUUGGGCUGUUCAAUCCAUCCCAGAAACAGCUUCUUAGUAACGCGAUCAACAUCUUCCAAGAAAUAUUCGUCUUUCAAUGCAUGUAAAAAAUCCUCCCAUGAAUUCCCAUAACGAUCCCUAAUCGAUGUAAUGUGGUCCCUUAUCUCCGGUAUCGUGGCAAGUCCAAAUAGUGCAACCAUUUUCUUCUCAGAAACCCGAUUUAAUUCCAUUUCACGAACAUAACAUCUUAAAUACCUUGAAAUAUUCCUCCCAUCAAAUUGAUCAAUUUUAUUGACCACUGCUUGUAAUGCUUUGGUUGCCAAAGCUUCCUUUCGAUCAUUGCUUUGCUGUUGCUGCAUUGACAAUGAGAAGACUUGAAACAAACUAGCAAUAGACGGAUCCAUGUGCAUACCUUGUCCUUUAGAAGACUCCCCACCAGAAACUCCUCCCAAAAAUCCUUCAAAAUUUUUAUUUUCGUUUUCCAUAAAAAUAAAGAUAAAAUCAACCGAAAUCCAAUACGUUCCACCUCAAGCUUUCACGUCGGGUUCACCACUUUUUGUCAUAUUACGUGCUUUCCUGCUCGAGAACGCGCCGGGAAUUUGGCUGUAGAAGGUAGUAUGGAGAUUCGCCGAUAGUCAAGCAGUCUAUCAGUUUUGACUGCUGGAAUAUAAACGACUGCAACAAUGUACCGUAAAUCUAUACGGAUGCUCUUUGACUGCUUAUCGAAGUCCUUUUUGCCCCAGCCGAUAGGUCUCUAGACGUUACAGAGAACCCCGAACAACCCAAUCUGCUAAUCUCCGAUACCGAUUUCUACUUACGAUCUUGUAUCCACUGACUGUCUUGUUAGAUUAACCCAAUAAAUUUCAUUUACUUUGCAUACUCAAUCCUAUAGACACCCUUUUAAUCCUUCAGUCACAGACGUAACUCGAUUUCACAAAACAGUCAAGAGUAUUCAAACCCACUUCAUUAAAAAUCCCGAUUCACCAUUACAAUACUGACUUCAGCAGCGAUUGCCUCAGUCUUCCCAAAACUCUACGAAGAAGAAAAAUCCAAAUUCUAUGUCUUUCCUUCCCCGACCCAAAGCAUGAAGCUCCUUUUCUCUAAUCCCCUUGAUCUUCAAAAACCUCCAAUGAAAACCGAACUAGUAACCUUACAAAAGCUUGAAACUAGCUCCCCCCGAUUC
Molecule: long non-coding RNA, 7354 nt
Filed under: Physcomitrium patens
Lineage: Eukaryota; Viridiplantae; Streptophyta; Bryopsida; Funariales; Funariaceae
Description: long non-coding RNA (PPAT_LNC000210)
Source: RNAcentral